GCUAACGGCUGAACUGGCAACUUGGAGAAGUGGCAAGUCUUCCAGUAUGGGGAGCAAACAGCUAUGGGUCAAGUCCGAUAUCUUUAAGAGAAGUCUUAUUGUGAGGGCGAGUUAUAUAACACCAUAGGACUGGCCGUCCCAUAUGAAAAGAUUAUAUUAGAAUUGAAUGAAGCUUUGUUUAUAUAUUGAUAAUGACAGUAUAUAUAUCGUGUCUUGACUAAUUGCGUGCCAGCAGUCGCGGUAAUACGUAAGAGACUAGUGUUAUUCAUCUUAAUUAGGUUUAAAGGGUACCCAGACGGUCAAUAUAGCUUAUAAAAUGUUAGUACUUGACUAGAGUUUUAUGUAAGAGGGCAGUACUUGAGGAGGAGAGAUGAAAUUUCGUGAUACCAAAGGGACUCUGUAAAGGCGAAGGCAGCCCUCUAUGUAAAAACUGACGUUGAAGGACGAAGGCACAGAGAACAAACAGGAUUAGAUACCCAAGUAGUCUUUGCAGUAAAUGAUGAAUGCCAUAGGUUAGAUUUUGCGCCUAGAUCUUCUUAGCUUAGCAAACUAAGGCUAGUGCGGUUUAUUUGGUCUAUAAAUGAAAGUGUAAGCAUUUCACCUCAAGAGUAAUGUGGCAACGCAGGAACUGAAAUCACUAGACCGUUUCUGACACCAGUAGUGAAG
Molecule: ribosomal RNA, 666 nt
Filed under: Fusarium beomiforme
Lineage: Eukaryota; Fungi; Ascomycota; Sordariomycetes; Hypocreales; Nectriaceae
Description: SSU rRNA
Rfam family: Bacterial small subunit ribosomal RNA
Source: RNAcentral